RNAcentral lists this non-coding RNA (280 nucleotides) under Candidatus Zhuqueibacterota. Lineage: Bacteria; Pseudomonadati. The record is from RNAcentral.
GUUUCUCACCACUCCCCGGAUGCAAGGGAAGCUGGUCGCUCCGAGUAGGGGCGCUCUGGCACUCCGGCACUUUGGCAUUAGGGCUUUCUGUUCUUCCCGAGUGCCUGACUGCCGGAGCGCCCGACUGCCCUCGUUCCAAAGGAGGAAGCCAGCACGGUCCCGCCACUGUAAGUGGGGAGCGAGCCCGCAGAAGGCCACUGUUCCGCCGCAGGCGGAAUGGGAAGGCGCGGGGGAGCGACGAUCCACGAGUCAGGAGACCUAUCCGGGGAGCAACCCUCAC